ACUUAAAUUAUUCAGUAAGGAUCGCAGACAGAUUCUUAUAAAUUUGACAAACCUGUAGCAAAAUUAUUAGUAUAGAGUCUCGAACAUUCUUGCCGUAUUACAAAGUCCUAAAUUUUCUGUAUCAUGGAUUGGAAGAGCUUUGAGGGGCGUCGCAAACAGCCAUACGAUGACUGUCUGCCACCCUUUCGCGUCGGCCCAAUGGAAGAAAUUUUCUCCGGGGGCCCAAUACACGAAGAACUAAGCAAUCUCCUGCCGCAGCCUGUAACGCAGCCAAGCCUGAACACCUUGGCAGGCAGUAGCCUCCAAAAGCGUCAACAAAAGAACGAGGGUCCCCACUGUAAUCCUUGCUCGAGACCGGCUGAAUCUGGACUUUAUUUGCGCUAUCGCAACAAGGAAACGAAUAAUGUAUUGCGGAGGCUGUGGUGCCUGGACAAAUUAAAUGCUUGCGAAUACCCAAAGUGAUGCCCAAUUGAGUUAUAUGCCUCGAACCUGCACUUGACCCAGCCACGGAACAAAAAUCAUUUCAUCCAAGCGAUGGCAUCACUGCACAUGAUAAUUGUGGGUGGCACACGACGAAAAAGCGUGAAUAAACAAAGUCGCGACUGAAUUAGUUUUACAUACAAAAAAUAAAAAUAAAAAAAAAAAUAUCAACAGCAUUUGAACAGCUCAAUUUGGCUUUAAUAUGCCCCUAUAAUUACACGUUUGCUGCAAUUACAUAAGCUACGCCGGCCAAGGGGGGCGGAGCAGUCGCAGGUUUGCUGGCAAGCCGCGGGCCAUAUAAGCGCCAGCCUCGACACUGAUUGCAACAACUGGCAGAACGAACAGCAUCAGCAAACAUGCGUCUAUGCCUGCUACUAGCCCUGACCCUGGCCGUGCUGCUGCAACUGGCCGCAGCUAGAGUAACGCCUCUCCAGGGUGCUCAGCAUCAUGGCUCGUCGACUGUGGCCAGCCUAACUGCCGUGGCAGGCGCUCCGUCGGGACAGCCGCCACGUGGAGGACCACCGCCGCCGCCACGCACCACCACAGCUGCCUCCUCCGGCUAAUGGUAGGAGCUGACAUGGACCUACACCUACACCCUACGUAACUUUGGAAAUCUAUAUUAAUUCUGCACUGUAUUGUAUAAAUGACACCCACCAAUAAAGCAAAUG
RNAcentral lists this unclassified non-coding RNA (1148 nucleotides) under Drosophila virilis. RNAcentral's name for it is "GJ18960". The record is from RNAcentral. Lineage: Eukaryota; Metazoa; Arthropoda; Insecta; Diptera; Drosophilidae.